This 570-nucleotide ribosomal RNA is filed under the name Filobasidium uniguttulatum. Its description in RNAcentral is "eukaryotic LSU rRNA". It matches the Rfam family "Eukaryotic large subunit ribosomal RNA", at positions 61 to 618 of the family's 3401-position model. Lineage: Eukaryota; Fungi; Basidiomycota; Tremellomycetes; Filobasidiales; Filobasidiaceae. The record is from RNAcentral.
GAAACUAACAAGGAUUCCCCUAGUAACGGCGAGCGAAGCGGGAAGAGCUCAAAUUUGAAAUCUGGUGGCCUCAGGUCAUCCGAGUUGUAAUCUAUAGAAGUGUUUUCCGUGCUGGCCCAUGUACAAGUCCCUUGGAACAGGGCGUCAUAGAGGGUGAGAAUCCCGUCCUUGACAUGGACUACCAGUGCUCUGUGAUACACUUUCAACGAGUCGAGUUGUUUGGGAAUGCAGCUCAAAAUGGGUGGUAAAUUCCAUCUAAAGCUAAAUAUUGGCGAGAGACCGAUAGCGAACAAGUACCGUGAGGGAAAGAUGAAAAGCACUUUGGAAAGAGAGUUAAACAGUAUGUGAAAUUGUUGAAAGGGAAACGAUUGAAGUCAGUCGUGCUCAAUGGACUCAGCCGUUCUGCGGUGUAUUUCCAUUGGGUGGGGUCAACAUCAGUUUUGAUCGCUGGAUAAAGGCAGGAGGAAUGUAGCACCCCCGGGUGAACUUAUAGCCUCUUGUCACAUACAGUGGUUGGGACUGAGGAACGCAGCAUGCCUUUAUGGCCGGGAUUCGUCCACGUACAUGCUU